This 471-nucleotide ribosomal RNA is filed under the name uncultured organism. RNAcentral's name for it is "partial 16S ribosomal RNA". It matches the Rfam family "Bacterial small subunit ribosomal RNA", at positions 335 to 797 of the family's 1533-position model. The record is from RNAcentral.
ACUCCUGCGGGAGGCAGCAGUAGGGAAUCUUCGGCAAUGGGGGCAACCCUGACCGAGCAACGCCGCGUGAGUGAAGAAGGUUUUCGGAUCGUAAAGCUCUGUUGUAAGUCAAGAACGAGUGUGAGAGUGGAAAGUUCACACUGUGACGGUAGCUUACCAGAAAGGGACGGCUAACUACGUGCCAGCAGCCGCGGUAAUACGUAGGUCCCGAGCGUUGUCCGGAUUUAUUGGGCGUAAAGCGAGCGCAGGCGGUUUGAUAAGUCUGAAGUUAAAGGCUGUGGCUCAACCAUAGUUCGCUUUGGAAACUGUCAAACUUGAGUGCAGAAGGGGAGAGUGGAAUUCCAUGUGUAGCGGUGAAAUGCGUAGAUAUAUGGAGGAACACCGGUGGCGAAAGCGGCUCUCUGGUCUGUAACUGACGCUGAGGCUCGAAAGCGUGGGGAGCGAACAGGAUUAGAUACCCCAGUAGUCCCA